UCUGAUGGUCUAUAUCCCUUCAGUAUACUAAACGCGUUUUAUGCUUUAAUUACCCACCAUGCCAUUGGUUAACAUCCUCACCAACAGGUCGCUGCCCUCUGCUCUCUCGCGACCACGCCCUCGGGGCAGUUUUCCAUUGCCCAGCGCCCCACACCUUGCCCCACCUCUUCCCUCCCCGCCAGCCACCGCCUGCCUCCAUCUGCACGCGUCGCCGGACCGCCGCGUCCACACGUAGCCCGGACUGCCGCCCACGCUCCAGGCGCCCGGUCCGCCACGCCCACGCUUGAGGCGCCCAGGCCGCCCCAUCCACGCUCCAGGCGAACCGCGGCGCCCACGCUCCAGGCUCCCGGGCCGCCCCCUCCAUGCUCCAGGCGGACCACGGCGCCAUAGCUCCAGGCGCCCGGACCGCCACGCUCACGCUCCAGCCGCUCGGGCCGCCGCGUCCACGCACCGCCCGGUCACAGGCACCGCCGGUCCUCCACACUGCAGGAUGAGCAAGAGUAAUCCAGACAAAGUUCCAGGAACGACUACGCAUCGUUCCCCAUUUAAAGACAUAACGAACUCGUCUAUGAUUGAGAAUGCAAAUGUCACUACUAAUAGUCAAGAAGCAAAAAAGAAUACAUUGUAUGCCCGAAUGUCUGAUGAGAAGAGAGCAACAUUCCUUGAAAAACGUUGUAUGUCCCGACAAGAAAAGAAGUCUCAGGCUCUGAAUAUUGUUAAUGGUCAACUAACAGUUGAGGCACAUGCUCCGUUAGGAUCCAAGGAAUGUACACCUUUGAGAAACAUAACCAACACACACACAAAUGGUAUGUUCAUACUCUGCAUAUCAUAAUUAUUGAAUGACCAUUUGCUCAUUUUGCUAGGAGUUUGUCUCCUGCGUUGUGCCAGAUGCAACAUGUACUGAAGCCGUAGGACGCCCUUGAACAGCGGGAUCUGCCGCCUCCCUUGGACUUCGCCGGCAAGGCGUGAUCCGUCGUCGCCACCCACUCCUCCCAUGGGAGGAUGCGGCUGCUAUCAUCAACCUCCGCUCCAUGGGCGUGCUCCCAAAUUCAAUAUGUUAGAUUUGCAGAGACUGAUGUUGCAUGACGCAAGAAGAAACAUGUGGUUCUGUUGCGAAUCACCGCAGCGAUGCAGUAAGUUUCCAGAUUGAUGCUACUGUUACUGCACAUGAGGGAAUACAUGGUUAUUAUUUUGACCAUAUAGGUGCCAUGGAAACUGGAGAAUUUUUAUCUACUAUACUUGUUCGUUGCCUGCAUCAUAUUGCAGUUCCAAAGUCCACAUAAGGUAUUCCAUUAACAUUUCGUAUACCAUUUUUCCGCCACUCGAUCACAUAAUGAAUAUCAUGAACAUUCAUACCAAGUUAUUUUGUGUCCUAUCAGGAAUUUUAAAUAAUACAUAAUUCAUUGGCGUGUACUCUGUCAUAGGAUGUUGCUUUACAUGUAAGAUUUUUAUCCCCUUUCUAAAGCUAAUGAUGAAGAUAAUCCUUUUCUGGAAUUAAGCUUCAUUUAGAGUGGAUAAUGUAUGGUUGUGCAUAUGUUGUGUAUUUUUUAUAUUAGAUGCAUAAACUUUUCUGGUAUUAAAACAAGUGAGAUUGGUUACAAAUAAACAAGUUAGUUCAGCAGCAUUCACGUUUUACAACUGGAAUCAUUUUUGCCAGAGUUAUUCCGACCUUUUGGCAAAGUGAUUGAAUUUUUCCUUUGCACUGCAGUUUGGGCGCACCAUGUUUUAACUGAGAAGGCAGUUGUUGGUACAGUUAGAGUUCAAAGAGGUCCUUCGACGAGGGUGUGUCAAAACUCAGCUAGGCGCUUCGAUGUCAACUGUGAAAUGGUCUUUUUUGUCCCAGUAAAGGUUGGAGGUAGAAUCAGCUUCAAUCUCGAGUACCCAAUUGUAGAGAAGACGAAAGGAGGCACAACAUAUAUGGAAGAUGGUAACCAGAUAAUGAAGCAAUUUUUGGUGCACCUACUCAACUACAUCAACAGUGAAGCUGCACACAACAUUUCGGAUGUUUGAGAGAAUUGAUCAGCUUCAUCAGGAAAUACUGCUAUAAUUUUUUGGCUCUAUGAAUAAGAUGAGUCGAUGAUACAUUGAAGUGUCUUCUUGAUUUAUAAUAGUACUUUUUAGUGCAAUUAAAAUAUCUUUCUGGGUAUGUUAAUUCUUACAUAUAUAUUAGUUGAGACGUGCAUUUGCACGGGCACGCUUACUAGUAAGGAAAGAAAAGCAUUGAAUAGGAAAGAGAGUUGAUUGCAGAUUCGUUUUUCCUUUGGAGCCCUGUUUCUUUUCGUGGUAAAAUAGCAAAAAAAAAAGGUGUGGCAGAUCUGUUGGGAUUUGGGACGUGAUCCUUCCCACGUGUGUUGUUUGACUUUGGAAAGAAUCAGAAUAAAAAGAGAGAGGACGACUUAAUUGGUAGAGUUCGGAAGGAAAUAACGUGAGUUAUCUCUACUACUAUUAAACAAGCAAACAUAUUCUUUUCUAAACGCACCCCAUCAAACGUACACACAAUAAUUUCAGACUAUUAGAGCCACACGAUUAGGGAUACUCAUUUAGAUCUAGCCGUCAGAAUAACAACUAGCCCUCAACCAAAAGUACAUCUAUCAAUUUUAGUGGGCGGACGAAAACUCUGCCGGCCAUCGUACGCACGAGCGAACGAAAAGUUCUCGACACCCACCUAAUCUCACCCCUAAAUUAGCGCUAACCUCCCAAUCUCACCCCAAAUUUAGCGCUAACCUCUCUGGUCGCACAAAUCUCCUCCAAGCAGAGUGGACGCGCCGUGGGCGGCCACUGGCGAUGAGGUCGCGCGCGAUCCCGCGCGGCGCGGCGGCUCCCGCUCCACCUCGCCUCUCCGGCUGCACAGGUCUCCUCCCUAGGCACGACGUGGGUGCACGCAGACGCAGGGCGGUCGCCGGCGAACGAGGCCGCACGCGAGACCGCGGCGAGGCGGCGCGGAGCCCUUUGCUCCCUCCAGUUUGUGAUCUGCUCAUCUGCAUCGGUCACCUCCAUCGCCACCGCGAGUCACCUCCUCCUCCGCCGCCAGGAAUCCCAUUGACGGCAAGGUAACUGCCCUCCCCGGUCAUCACGCCCUGCUUGCUGCGUGUGUGUGGUGUGCUGUGUGGGUGCUUAAUGCUGAGUGCUUUCCAGCUUGUCGCUGAUGGCCCGCUGCUGUUGCUUUGUUGUAUAGUAGUAUGAUUUUUGAGUCAGACUAUGAUCCAUGCACUUAAGGGAAGGGAUUAUGAUGCUGCUGAACUGGGAGUCCUUUAUCUUGAAGCCAGAAGUUUGGUAUUGGCUGAUGUUCCCCUUAGCGUUUGGGCAUUUCAAGCCCCUUACUUAAGCGAUUUUACGUGUGCACAAGUUUAAGUGGAAUACAUUUUUCUGUUCAAGAAAAACUUGCUUUAUUAAUUUGUUUUAUCUGGCGAUGGAGUGAUGGUGCACGAGGACGGACUUCCUAGAUAAGAAAAUGUCUGUGCUCUUCUCGAUGGUGCAAAGUUGAGGUGUUCUCAAAUCUCAAUGACCUAUUCUUUUUUACUACUCACUCUUGAAUGUUCCUUUUUUUUUUGUUUUUGUCUAUUCUUAUGUUCUUUGUUUCCGAUUUCAACUUUCCAAGGAUUUAGUUAAAAAAAAUCAUCUCUACUACUAUUAAACAAGCAAACAUAUUCUUUUCUAAACGCACCCCAUCAAACGUACACACAAUAAUUUCAGACUAUUAGAGCCACAUGAUUAGGGAUACUCAUUUAGAUCUAGCCGUCAGAAUAACAACUAACCCUCAACCAAAAGUACAUCUAUCAAUUUUAGUGGGCGGACGAAAACUCUGCCGGCCAUCGUACGCACGAGCGAACGAAAAGUUCUCGACACCCACCUAAUCUCACCCCUAAAUUAGCGCUAACCUCCCAAUCUCACCCCAAAUUUAGCGCUAACCUCUCUGGUCGCACAAAUCUCCUCCAAGCAGAGUGGACGCGCCGUGGGCGGCCACUGGCGAUGAGGUCGCGCGCGAUCCCGCGCGGCGCGGCGGCUCCCGCUCCACCUCGCCUCUCCGGCUGCACAGGUCUCCUCCCUAGGCACGACGUGGGUGCAUGCAGACGCAGGGCGGUCGCCGGCGAACGAGGCCGCACGCGAGACCGCGGCGAGGCGGCGCGGAGCCCUCUGCUCCCUCCAGUUUGUGAUCUGCUCAUCUGCAUCGGUCACCUCCAUCACCACCGCGAGUCACCUCCUCCUCCGCCGCCAGGAAUCCCAUCGACGGCAAGGUAACUGCCCUCCCCGGUCAUCACGCCCUGCUUGCUGCGUGUGUGUGGUGUGCUGUGUGGGUGCUUAAUGCUGAGUGCUUUCCAGCUUGUCGCUGAUGGCCCGCUGUUGUUGCUUUGUUGUAUAGUAGUAUGAUUUUUGAGUCAGACUAUGAUCCAUGCACUUAAGGGAAGGGAUUAUGAUGCUGCUGAACUGGGAGUCCUUUAUCUUGAAGCCAGAAGUUUGGUAUUGGCUGAUGUUCCCCUUAGCGUUUGGGCAUUUCAAGCCCCUUACUUAAGCGAUUUACGUGUGCACAAGUUUAAGUGGAAUACAUUUUUCUGUUCAAGAAAAACUUGCUUUAUUAAUUUGUUUUAUCUGGCGAUGAAGUGAUGGUGCACGAGGACGGACUUCCUAGAUAAGAAAAUGUCUGUGCUCUUCUCGAUGGUGCAAAGUUGAGGUGUUCUCAAAUCUCAAUGACCUAUUCUUUUUUACUACUCACUCUUGAAUGUUCCUUUUUUUUGUCUAUUCUUAUGUUCUUUGUUUCCGAUUUCAACUUUCCAAGGAUUUAGUUAAAAAAAUCAAGGAUUGUUCUUCUCAUGCCUUCUGUUGGUUGUUCAAGGAUGGUGCUGAAAUUUUGGGAGAGAUGGAGAACAUGGAGCCUUGGGUAGCUGAAGUACAUCCUUCCUUAAGCGUAAGAUGCGUUCUGGUUCAUAGGUAAAUCAUGAAGCAAAACUUUGUUGCUUUUUCAAUUUUUCUCUAUGAAGCAAGAUGGUCUGCAUUUUAACAGUACACGAAUAUAAAAUAGGGAUGGUUAAAACAAUGGCUCAAGUUUUGAUUUGAUAGUUAAAACAAUGUUAAAAAAUAGGAUUGUUUUGUGCUCUCUUCGGAUAUUAAUCCAAUUAGGCUUAGCGGUAUAUGAAUGCACAAGCUCUUUAGGAAAGCCAAAAGAGAAAAUGGAAAACUAUUACAUGUCUAUUUGUCCAAACAACGUAAAUCGAGACUUCUAUCUUGCCAAAACCUCUUAUUAUUGCGUUCAUUUUCUUCCUAUUGUUUACAUUGUCACCUCUUUGUUGGUUGUUGUUUGGUGCCAAGGCCAUUAGAAAAGAGUAAUGCCUCAAACAAGGUAGUUCUGAAGAUAGAACUCAGGGUAGCUACCAUCGAUGAUGCUUUCCAGCAAGCUCCUGGGUGACUACUCGAUGCCGACCAUUGUUGGUUUCCUUCAUGGCUAUUGUAAAAUGAUGAUUCAUAUAUCACAUGCUCUUUAUUGGUAUUGGCAUGCCUGUAUCACUUCACUUUUGUUCCUUUCUUAGGGGUUGCAAGAAACAUAUACUAAUGGUUACGGGCAGAGGAGCAAAUAAGAGAAAUUACAAUGUCACAACUAUUCUCAGUUAUGAGAAUACUGAAACGGAUAUAGACUGAUGAGAUGAUGUUCAUACAUGUUGAAGCAGGUUUCGGAAAGAAGUAAUGGAUAUAGAACUAACUAUGCUCAUCCUGUUGGUAGGACAUUCUCAUAGAUCGUUUUUUUUCUUGUUCUGGUUGUCAUAUGCUAAAGGCUGUGUACCUAUGAAAAAAGAAGAUACUUCAAAUUUUUUAUGUAGUACUUGGUGUAUGUGUGCUCAUGAGGUGUCCGGGUACUCAUGAUGUAACAUUAGAUUUUUGUUAUGUUCUAAUUUUCUUACCCUUGCAGUACCAACAAUGUAUACAGUACUCCGAUACUGCUAGCGAAGUGAUUUUUCUUUUAAUUGUUUUUC
Molecule: RNA transcript, 5963 nt
Organism: Triticum aestivum (bread wheat)
Lineage: Eukaryota; Viridiplantae; Streptophyta; Magnoliopsida; Poales; Poaceae
Exons: 4
Source: RefSeq, a predicted model, not a curated record